This 442-nucleotide ribosomal RNA is filed under the name uncultured bacterium. Its description in RNAcentral is "partial 16S ribosomal RNA". It matches the Rfam family "Bacterial small subunit ribosomal RNA", at positions 338 to 795 of the family's 1533-position model. The record is from RNAcentral.
CCUACGGGAGGCAGCAGUGGGGAAUAUUGGGCAAUGGGCGCAAGCCUGACCCAGCAACGCCGCGUGAAGGCAGAAGGCCUUCGGGUUUUAAACUUCUUUUAAGAGGGAAGAGCAGAAGCCGGUACGUCUUUAAUAAGCCACGGCGAACUACGUGCCAGCAGCAGCGGUAAGACGGAGGUGGCAUGCGUUGUCCGGAUUUACUGGGUAUAAAGGGCUUGCAGGCGGGAAGACAGGUCAGAGGUGAAAUCCCGCGGCUCAACCGCGGAACUGCAGUUGAACGUGGUUGUCUUGAGUACCGGAGAGGUCAGAGGAAUGUGUGGUGUAGCGGUGAAAUGCGUAGAUAUAAGGAAGAACGCCAGUGGCGAAGGCGGCUGACUGGACGGCAACUGACGGUGAGGCGCGAAAGCGUGGGUAGCAAACAGGAUUAGAUACCCUAGUAGUC